CGUUGCGCAGCAGGAGGUGCGUCGUGGCGUUGCUCAUGGCGACGCGGUGGGCGGGGAAUCCGAACUCCCCCGCGAUGUC
This 79-nucleotide transfer RNA is filed under the name Streptomyces acidiscabies. RNAcentral describes it as "tRNA-Met". The record is from RNAcentral. Lineage: Bacteria; Bacillati; Actinomycetota; Actinomycetes; Kitasatosporales; Streptomycetaceae.